UAUCUCUGUAGAGUCUGCAUAUCAAUAAGCGGAGGAAAAGAAACUAACAAGGAUUCCCCUAGUAACGGCGAGUGAAGCGGGAAGAGCUCAAAUUUGAAAUCUUCAAGGUUCUACCUUGACGAAUUGUAGUUUAAGGAAGUGUUUUCGGUUAGAGGAGUAGUAAAAGUUCUUUGGAAUAGGACAUCAUAGAGGGUGAGAAUCCCGUAUUUGACUAUUCUUUCUAGCUUUGUGAUACACUUUCAAAGAGUCGGAUUGUUUGGGAAUGCAGUCCAAAAUGGGUGGUAAAUUUCAUCUAAAGCUAAAUAUUGGCGAGAGACCGAUAGCGAACAAGUACCGUGAGGGAAAGAUGAAAAGAACUUUGAAAAGAGAGUUAAACAGUACGUGAAAUUGUCAAAAGGGAAGCGUUUGACACCAGUGUUGUUUUUCCGAAAAUCAAUUAAAAAUUGAUUCAUGCCAGGUUGUAUUGACCUUAUCAGCUUGCAAUUUGGUUUUGGGUCUCUUUUUGAUGCACUUUUCGGUUAACAAGUCAACAUCAAUUUCCUUUGCUGUAAAAAGGUAAGAGGAAGGUGGCUUCAAUUUCGGUUGAAGUGUUUAUAGCCUUUUAUCUCUGCAGUCGGGGAGAUUGAGGUCUGCAGCGUAGAUCCUUCGGGGCUAGAUACAUUUAUGCUAAGUUAUAGCUUUUCAUAGACAACUUGUUGACUAUGUUUAGUCAUGUAGCUUAUUCGUAAGUGCUAUUUUACCUACGCUUAGGAUGUUGAGCGCAUGUCUCUCUCU
This 774-nucleotide ribosomal RNA is filed under the name uncultured Neocallimastigales. Its description in RNAcentral is "partial large subunit ribosomal RNA". It matches the Rfam family "Eukaryotic large subunit ribosomal RNA", at positions 24 to 642 of the family's 3401-position model. The record is from RNAcentral. Lineage: Eukaryota; Fungi; Neocallimastigomycota; Neocallimastigomycetes; Neocallimastigales.